CCUACGGGAGGCAGCAGUGGGGAAUAUUGCGCAAUCGGGGGGCAACCCUGACGCAGCGAUGCCGCGUGAGUGAAGAAGGCCUUAGGGUUGUAAAGCUCUUUCAGUGGGGAAGAUGAUGACGGUACCCACAGAAGAAGCCCCGGCUAACUCCGUGCCAGCAGCCGCGGUAAUACGGAGGGGGCAAGCGUUGUUCGGAAUUAUUGGGCGUAAAGGGCGCGUAGGCGGUCUGUCAAGUCAGGAGUGAAAGCCUCAGGCUCAACCUGGGAACUGCUUUUGAAACUGACAGACUUGAGUCCGGCAGAGGGUGGUGGAAUUCCCCGUGUAGAGGUGAAAUUCGUAGAUAUGGGGAGGAAGACCGGAGGCGAAGGCGGCCACCUGGACCGGUACUGACGCUGAGGCGCGAAAGCGUGGGGAGCAAACAGGAUUAGAUACCCCAGUAGUC
Molecule: ribosomal RNA, 442 nt
Filed under: uncultured bacterium
Lineage: Bacteria
Description: bacterial SSU rRNA
Rfam family: Bacterial small subunit ribosomal RNA
Source: RNAcentral